Molecule: ribosomal RNA, 2620 nt
Filed under: Gracilaria firma
Lineage: Eukaryota; Rhodophyta; Florideophyceae; Gracilariales; Gracilariaceae
Description: large subunit ribosomal RNA
Rfam family: Bacterial large subunit ribosomal RNA
Source: RNAcentral
AUUUUUAUAACGAGCGCUUAAUGAAAACCUUGGUGAAAAUCUUUGGACGUGACGCUACGAAAAGUUAUGGGGAGGCAUUAGCCUGUGAUCUGUAAAUUUCCAUAUUUAGAGUAAACUUGUUAAAAUAGUUUUAAAAAUAGUGUAAAUUGAACCAUCUAAGUAACACUGAAUAAUAAAUCAACCGAGAAGUCGUAAGUAAUGGUGAAUGAAAACGAUAAAAAAGCUUAAUUAAAAGUUUUUAUUAUAAUUUACGAUAAAAGGUAUAAGUCCUGUAUUAGUAAAAACUUUUAGCAAUAAAAUUUUAAGUAAUAUGAUUUAAAAUUAUAUGAAUAAAAGAGAACCACCUUUUAAGCUUAAAAGAUUUUUCAACCUAUAGUGAACGAGUACCGUGAGGGAAAGGUAAAGAAAUUUGAAAAGAAUUAAUUUAAGUUAAGCGUUUAAAAUUUUUCGGAGUAUAAAACAACGAAAUGCCUUUUGCAUAAUGAAUCAGCAAGUUAAUAGAUAUUGCAAGUUUAAUUAUUAAUAAGUAGACUUUACUAAGUAAUAUCCAUUAAACCUGAAACCAAGUGAGCUAGUUGUAAGCAAGUUGAAAAUACUUUAAAAAGUUUUUGAGGACUGCACUCGUAUAUGUAGCAAAAUAUAGAGAUGACUUAUAGCUAGGAGCGAAAGACUAAUCAAACUUGGAAAUAGCCGGUUUUUCACGAAAUGUAUUUUAGUACUACGUUAAUUAGUUUAAAUCUUGAGUUAGAGUACAAAAUAAAUAAAGGGAUGUAAAAAUUUACUGCAUUUUUUUUAACUCCAAAUUAAAGCUUUUUUAAUUAACAGGCAGUCUAUAAGCGAUAAGGUUUAUAGACGAGAGGAAAACAAUCCAGACCGUAUAUUAAGAUUUCUAAAUUAUAACUUAGGGAAAAAACUAAGAAAUGUUCAAAUAAUAAUUCUGUUAGGCUUAGAAGCAGCCUUUCAUUAGAGAAAGCGUUUUAGCUCAUUAUUCUUCUUUUUUUAGUUUAAAAUGUAUAGAAACUUUAAGUUUUAUAUCGAAAUAGCGGAUUAAUAUAAUAAUGGUAGUGAAACGUUCUGUGAAAAUUUUUUAAUUGGAAAAUUACAAAAAAAUAACAGAAAUGCUAAUGCUGAUAUGAGUAGCGCUAAUUACGUUAAAAAAUCGUAAUCACUGAAUGUUUAAGGGUUUCAAUGUAAUUUUAAAUACAUUGAGUUAGUCGGUCCUUAAGAGGAGAAUGAAAAUUGUACUCGAUAGGAACUUAAUAACCAUAUUAAACUUUUUAUAUGUGUUUUAAAACAUGAAAGAAAUAAUUAUUAAAAUUUUAUAAAUAACUAUUUAAAAUAAGGUAAUGAAAUAAAUAUAAAUUAUUUCCGAGAAAAAAUUAUAAAAAACAAACCGUACUUAAACCGACACAGGUAAAUUUAUUGAGAAAAUUAAAAGUGAAUGAAAAAAUUGUAUUGAAGGAACUCGGCAAGUUAACUCUGUAUGUUCGCUAUAAAGAGAGCCCAAGUUUGGGUAGCAUUAAAAGAGAAGUAACGACUGGUUAACAAAACCACAGGACUCUGCAAAUUUGUGAAAAAAAGUAUAGAGUCUGAAGCCUGCCCAGUGCUUAAAAAUAAAGAAACUAAGUUAAAGCUUAAUUUUUAAAUCUAAGUAAACGGCGGUUCUAACUAUAAGAAUCCUUAGGUAGCGAAAUUCCUUGGCGGGUAAAUUCCGUCCUGCAUGAAUGGCGUAACGAUUGCUUCACUGUCUCCAAUACAACUUCAGCGAAAUUACAUUAUCCAUGAAAAUGUGGAUUACUUGCAGUAAGACGGAAAGACCCUAGAUCCUUUACUUUAAUUUUAAAUUGUAAAAAGUUAUUUAUAUGUGAAGAAUAAGUGGGAAUAACUUUUAAUACUCUUGAGAUACCACUCAUUAAAAUUAACUUUUUACUUUAUUUGUAGAUAAUGCUAUAAAAACCGUUUAAAAGAGAAAGUUUACUUGGGACGAGUACCUCCUAAAUAGUAACGGAGGUGUACGAAGGUAAGUAACAAUUAUUUAUUUUAAUAAUGAAGAACAUAAUGGUAUAAGCUUGCCUGACAAUGAGAUUUAUACAUCAAGUUGCGACGAAAGUCAGUCAUAGUGACCCGGUAUUUAAGCGUGGAAUUAAUACCGUUCAACAAAUCAAAGGAACUCUAGGGAUAACAGAUUCAUCGUGAUUGAGAGUUCAUAUUGACGUCACGGUUUGAUACCUCGAUGUCGACUCAUCUUAUCCUGAAAUUGAAGUAGAUUUCAAGGGUCUAGUUGUUCGCUAGUGAAAAAGGUACGUGAGUUGGGUUCAGAACGUCGUGAGACAGUUCGGUCCCUAUCUACUGUAAGACAAGAAAAAUAAAAAGCGUAUUCUUAGUACGAGAGGACCAGAAUACUUUAACCUCUGGUUAAUUGAUUGUUAUACCAAUAGCAUUGUCAAGUAGCUAAGUUAAUUUUUAAUAUGUACUGAACGAAUCAAGUGUACUAAAUAUUCUUUCUUUAUUUUUCCAGAAUAUUCUAAAAGAUUAUUAGAUUGAUCGGUUUGCAAGAAAUUUUUAGUAAUAAAAAUUUUUAAUAUUUACAAAUACGAAUUAUUCAAAAAAAUUUUAAUUU